ACAGAAGCCAUGUGAUGAGGAAGCAAAAAAUGCUCCUGAUCUGAACUAGGCUGGAACGGCUGACAACAUCUCGGAUCUGGGGAAACCAGAUGGAAAGCACAAGGAACAACUCACUAGUAGUAAGAAAUUGUUUUGAUAUCUGAAACCAGCAAGAAGAACAAAGCAGCACCGCAGGGAUGUUUAUUGAAAGAAGCAAACAGAAUUUAGUACAAUGUUAAAAGUGAAACAUUAAUGUAGCCUUCUGAUGUGUCGUGCCAUUUGCCUCACUUAUAGUACAAUGUUUCCUAUAGUCUUUAGCUGUUGUUUCCGAGCAACGUUUCUCUUACUCCGAUGGAAUCCCAGAAACUAGUCGCUGACACAGGCGGCAGCGCGACAGUCACUUUUGCAGGGUCUGAGGCACACGACCAAUUGCAUGUCCCAGCAGUCGCGACAUUUGAAGCCCGAGAGCUCGCAGUCGUUCUUGCAUGCAAGUACGCCGUUGGCUAAACACGUUGUGCUGCAGCGUUGGUCACAAUCGCUGCACCGUAUCGCCGGUGCCGGCGCAGGCGUGGGCGCUACCUGGGGCCCGAGCGACGGGCAGCGGCCGAUGGAAGGCAGAACCAGGACGGCGAGAAUGGCGGCGAUGAAGGCCGCCUUGAGAGCGAGAGUAGUGGAUGAACCUGCGGAAGCCAUUGUUUGUUCUACGCGGCAAGCAAGUGGCUAGAUACUUCAGAGAGGAAGACACAACUAUGCAGCACUGCACAAUAUAACGUA
Molecule: long non-coding RNA, 753 nt
Filed under: Hordeum vulgare
Lineage: Eukaryota; Viridiplantae; Streptophyta; Magnoliopsida; Poales; Poaceae
Description: long non-coding RNA (HVUL_LNC014445)
Source: RNAcentral